GUUCUAACAAGCCGUUGACAACUUGUCAACAGGCUAAAUUAAACAUUUAAAUACUACCUCUUUAAUUAUUAUUCUAUGUUAGUAUCGACCGUAUUCGAUGUAAACUUGUUAUGUACUUGGUCUAUGUCACGUGACUGUUCCUGUCAUAAGAGUUAAUUGUCUUAUUGUAUAAACUUGUUAUUAGUAUUUACAUAGUAAACUAUAUUUACAUGUAUUCUGUUGGAAAGGUGCCUUGCAUGGAUAGCGCAAAUUAUUUACGUUCCGUUCGCACCUCUUCCAUUUGGGUAAUAUUCGUUCUUCGCAUGCAUAGUAUUAGUACGUCUUUUGUAAAUAAUUAUUAUAUUUACCCAAUAAAGUAUUUAAACAAACAAAGGCUGGGAACAAGCAGUGCGAACACAUCCUGAUGACAAAUUGUUGCAACAGCAUUGCUACAAGUCUGCUGCAGGUUUGUUACAACUUGUGCGUUUUUACAUGUGUAGUACGUCUCCGAUCCCAACAAGCCGUCGCAUUGCUUAUCACAAGCUGUCAACAAGUUUGGAACAAGCUGUCAACAACUUGCAACAACCUUGUUGACAUUAUCAGACUUGUUGCAAGGUUGUUCCAACAAGUCCGAUCCAGUCAUGAUAUAGCAGUAUUGUUACAACCUUGUGUCGCCAACCUUGUGACAUUCUUGUUAUAUCGUGACUGCAACAGACUUGUUAGGACAACCUUGUAACAAGUC
Non-coding RNA from Paramuricea clavata, 721 nucleotides. Lineage: Eukaryota; Metazoa; Cnidaria; Anthozoa; Malacalcyonacea; Plexauridae. The record is from the annotation of a GenBank genome assembly.